GGGGAAUUUUGGACAAUGGGCGCAAGCCUGAUCCAGCCAUGCCGCGUGCAGGAUGAAGGCCUUCGGGUUGUAAACUGCUUUUGUACGGAACGAAAKGUUCUGCCCUAAUACGGUGGGAAUAUGACGGUACCGUAAGAAUAAGCACCGGCUAACUACGUGCCAGCAGCCGCGGUAAUACGUAGGGUGCRAGCGUUAAUCGGAAUUACUGGGCGUAAAGCGUGCGCAGGCGGUUAUGUAAGACAGAUGUGAAAUCCCCGGGCUCAACCUGGGAACUGCAUUAG
Molecule: ribosomal RNA, 281 nt
Filed under: uncultured beta proteobacterium
Lineage: Bacteria; Pseudomonadati; Pseudomonadota; Betaproteobacteria
Description: partial 16S ribosomal RNA
Rfam family: Bacterial small subunit ribosomal RNA
Source: RNAcentral